GGAGUCCCUCCCUCUAAAAGCACUCUGUGUGGGGAACAUGAGAGCCAGACCAAAGCUCAGAGGAACCAGCCUGGACCUCCACCCAGCUCUGUGUCCUCUAAGAGCAAACGGGUGAAGCAUUUCUUUCGUAAUUUAGGGCGAAAAAAGUCAUCUGAC
This is a long non-coding RNA of Haplochromis burtoni (Burton's mouthbrooder), 156 nucleotides long. RefSeq lists it as uncharacterized. Lineage: Eukaryota; Metazoa; Chordata; Actinopteri; Cichliformes; Cichlidae. The transcript has 2 exons. The record is from RefSeq and is a predicted model, not a curated record.